RNAcentral lists this ribosomal RNA (503 nucleotides) under uncultured bacterium. RNAcentral describes it as "partial 16S ribosomal RNA". It matches the Rfam family "Bacterial small subunit ribosomal RNA", at positions 30 to 523 of the family's 1533-position model. The record is from RNAcentral.
AUUGAACGCUGGCGGCAGGCUUAACACAUGCAAGUCGAGCGGGGUGAUGGUGCUUGCACUAUCACUUAGCGGCGGACGGGUGAGUAAUGCUUAGGAAUCUGCCUAUUAGUGGGGGACAACAUCUCGAAAGGGAUGCUAAUACCGCAUACGUCCUACGGGAGAAAGCAGGGGAUCACUUGUGACCUUGCGCUAAUAGCUGAGCCUAAGUCGGAUUAGCUAGUUGGUGGGGUAAAGGCCUACCAAGUCGACGAUCUGUAGCGGGUCUGAGAGGAUUAUCCGCCACACUGGGACUGCGACACGGCCCAGACGCCGGCGGGAGGCAGCCGUGGGGAAUAUUGGACAAAGGGGGGAACCCUGAUCCAGCCAUGCCGCGUGUGUGAAGAAGGCCUUAUGGUUGUAAAGCACUUUAAGCGAGGAGGAGGCUCUUUUGGUUAAUACCCAAGAUGAGUGGACGUUACUCGCAGAAUAAGCACCGGCUAACUCUGUGCCAGCAGCCGCAGUAA